AUGGACGCAAGUCUGAUGGAGCAACGCCGCGUGAGUGAAGAAGGCUUUCGGGUCGUAAAACUCUGUUGUUGGAGAAGAAUGGUCGGCAGAGUAACUGUUGUCGGCGUGACGGUAUCCAACCAGAAAGCCACGGCUAACUACGUGCCAGCAGCCGCGGUAAUACGUAGGUGGCAAGCGUUAUCCGGAUUUAUUGGGCGUAAAGCGAGCGCAGGCGGUUUUUUAAGUCUGAUGUGAAAGCCCUCGGCUUAACCGAGGAAGUGCAUCGGAAACUGGGAAACUUGAGUGCAGAAGAGGACAGUGGAACUCCAUGUGUAGCGGUGAAAUGCGUAGAUAUAUGGAAGAACACCAGUGGCGAAGGCGGCUGUCUGGUCUGUAACUGACGCUGAGGCUCGAAAGCAUGGGUAGCGAACAGGAUUAGAUACCCUGGUAGUCCAUGCCGUAAACGAUGAAUGCUAGGUGUUGGAGGGUUUCCGCCCUUCAGUGCCGCAGCUAACGCAUUAAGCAUUCCGCCUGGGGAGUACGACCGCAAGGUUGAAACUCAAAGGAAUUGACGGGGGCCCGCACAAGCGGUGGAGCAUGUGGUUUAAUUCGAAGCAACGCGAAGAACCUUACCAGGUCUUGACAUCUUUUGAUCACCUGAGAGAUCAGGUUUCCCCUUCGGGGGCAAAAUGACAGGUGGUGCAUG
RNAcentral lists this ribosomal RNA (685 nucleotides) under Lacticaseibacillus rhamnosus. RNAcentral's name for it is "bacterial SSU rRNA". It matches the Rfam family "Bacterial small subunit ribosomal RNA", at positions 371 to 1047 of the family's 1533-position model. The record is from RNAcentral. Lineage: Bacteria; Bacillati; Bacillota; Bacilli; Lactobacillales; Lactobacillaceae.